This 121-nucleotide small nucleolar RNA is filed under the name Triticum aestivum (bread wheat). RNAcentral describes it as "Small nucleolar RNA SNORD14". It matches the Rfam family "Small nucleolar RNA SNORD14". From Rfam's summary of the family: U14 small nucleolar RNA (U14 snoRNA) is required for early cleavages of eukaryotic precursor rRNAs. Lineage: Eukaryota; Viridiplantae; Streptophyta; Magnoliopsida; Poales; Poaceae. RNAcentral also lists the same sequence under 2 other names. The record is from Rfam by way of RNAcentral.
UGGUGAUGAUGAUAAAACUUAGGCUUGUUUCUCAAAACAUUCGCAGUUGCAGCCUAAGAGCUUUCGCCCUGCCAGGCUUGAGAGCUAAUGCUGCUAAUUCCUUCCUUGGAUGUCUGAGCCA